This 810-nucleotide long non-coding RNA is filed under the name Salvia miltiorrhiza (redroot sage). RNAcentral describes it as "long non-coding RNA (SMIL_LNC004426)". The record is from RNAcentral. Lineage: Eukaryota; Viridiplantae; Streptophyta; Magnoliopsida; Lamiales; Lamiaceae.
UCAUUCAUGCUAGAAUCGAGUUCCCACAUCGCCUUUUCUUGAUCAUAGUGCUUCCAAAGAACUAUUACUAAGGGUAUCGACUUAUUCCUUAGUACUUUAACUUUCCGAUCUAGAAUAGAUUCGGGUCUCUCCUCAUAUCAAUUGGAUUCCUAAUUCCAAUUUAUAUACACGAGAUUUACUUGAGAAUAAGUUCCCUCGUCCUUUUUCGGCGGUUCAUUUUGCUCCUACCUCAUUCCUAGGGCUCAUCUACGGGGUAUUCUUUUUUCCAAAGACUAAAAUAGUCAUCAACCCAUUUCUUGUUACCUAUCACAUGAAUAACACUUUCCUAUGAAUUUAUCUUAAAACUAUCAUAGACCAAUUAACUUAAGUCCUCGUACUCGAACACUAUAUUACGGUCUUAGCUUGAACUCUGAAUUUCUAUCAUAAUGAGUGGUCGAUAUCAUUUAUAGGACAAAGACUAAUAAUCUCAACUAAUUACAAUGAGACACAAUUAUACGAAGCCAUAAUUUGGGUAGUAUACUACAUCGGUAGACUAACACUUCUUGGUCUUAUCAAACAAGGGAAUCUAUUAUGACAACUCACGAGUUGCAAGGCUCAAACUCAACACAACAUCAAAGCAAGGUGUUGUAGAAAUUGUUCAAGAGAAUCAAAAGAAUGACCAGAGGGUAUGAAAUGAUUAACUACUAGGUCGAACAAAAUGACCUCGAGUAUGAACCCAUCUGGCUUUUCAACCGAAAGUUGAAACACAUGGGUUUUCAACCCAAAAGACGUCUACUGAGAUUUGGAUCAUGUGGACUGGCCAGGUCCAAC